Molecule: ribosomal RNA, 234 nt
Filed under: uncultured bacterium
Lineage: Bacteria
Description: partial 16S ribosomal RNA
Rfam family: Bacterial small subunit ribosomal RNA
Source: RNAcentral
CGGGUGAGUAACACGUAAGUAAUCUACCUUCGAGUGGGGAAUAACGUCCGGAAACGGACGCUAAUACCGCAUAAUGCAGCGGCAUCGAAAGAUGACAGUUGUUAAAGGAGCAAUUCGCUUGAAGAGGAGCUUGCGGCAGAUUAGCUAGUUGGUAAGGUAAUGGCUUACCAAGGCUACGAUCUGUAACCGGUCUAAGAGGACGGUCGGUCACACUGACACUGAAUAACGGGUCAG